Molecule: long non-coding RNA, 295 nt
Organism: Spea bombifrons (plains spadefoot toad)
Lineage: Eukaryota; Metazoa; Chordata; Amphibia; Anura; Pelobatidae
Exons: 2
Source: RefSeq, a predicted model, not a curated record
GUGACCUUAGUGUUUUCUCUAAAUAGUUUAUUUGAUUUUAUUUAUUUUUGCCCAAUACAAAGAUGGCUGUCCCCGUUUUCCGUCCCACGUGGCUGGCAGGAUCGCUGCAACACGUGAAAAGAUCCACGAUCCUCCAUUUUUAAGAUUAUUUAUUGACCAGGAAACCUCAAGGAAAUUGGAAAAUGGCACCAAUUGCGUCUCGUGAAACACAGCGUGCGAUGUAAUAGUGUAAAUGUUUAUGCCAUAAUUGAUGUCAACUGCUGUUGAAAUAAAUUUCCCUCCUUUGUUUUGUUAA